Molecule: transfer RNA, 76 nt
Filed under: Candidatus Bathyarchaeota archaeon
Lineage: Archaea; Thermoproteati; Candidatus Bathyarchaeota
Also listed under: 1 other name
Description: tRNA-Arg
Rfam family: tRNA
About the family: Transfer RNA (tRNA) molecules are approximately 80 nucleotides in length. Their secondary structure includes four short double-helical elements and three loops (D, anti-codon, and T loops). Further hydrogen bonds mediate the characteristic L-shaped molecular structure. tRNAs have two regions of fundamental functional importance: the anti-codon, which is responsible for specific mRNA codon recognition, and the 3' end, to which the tRNAs corresponding amino acid is attached (by aminoacyl-tRNA synthetases). tRNAs cope with the degeneracy of the genetic code in two manners: having more than one tRNA (with a specific anti-codon) for a particular amino acid; and 'wobble' base-pairing, i.e. permitting non-standard base-pairing at the 3rd anti-codon position.
Source: RNAcentral
GGGUCCGUAGUCUAGCCCGGAUCAGGACGUCAGCCUGCGGAGCUGGAGGUCCUGGGUUCAAAUCCCAGCGGACCCG